CCCAGCAUGUGGGGAUGAUCAGAAUAAAACACAGUGCCAACGCACUGCUCGCAUUACGACAAAACAAACUGUCUCUGAGGGAUUACACGAUUAAGUUCACUUCGAUGAUGACAGAAGUGAACGACCUAAUCCCGAGUCUGGCCAUAGCGGGGUACAUGAAUGGGCUAGUACCCUACUCCCCUUUGGCCCAGAACCUUACGCUCCAUAAAGUGGAGACCCU
Molecule: long non-coding RNA, 220 nt
Filed under: Zostera marina
Lineage: Eukaryota; Viridiplantae; Streptophyta; Magnoliopsida; Alismatales; Zosteraceae
Description: long non-coding RNA (ZMAR_LNC002001)
Source: RNAcentral